RNAcentral lists this long non-coding RNA (16796 nucleotides) under Malus domestica (apple). RNAcentral's name for it is "long non-coding RNA (MDOM_LNC008886)". Lineage: Eukaryota; Viridiplantae; Streptophyta; Magnoliopsida; Rosales; Rosaceae. The record is from RNAcentral.
UGCCUUUUUCUUUUCAUCAACCUUGGUGACUAUCAGUGUCAAAGAAAGCUUAAUUCUUCGUUCUGUUUUUAUUUGUCUCUUUAAAGGUUUGUAAAUUUUUUUUCUAUCGACCUUAUUCAACCAUGUAAAUGGAAAAUUUAUGUUAAAAUUCUUCCAUGCAUAGUAGGUACAAAGUGGUUGAGAUAGUUCACAAAAAUGUUAUGGAUGGCUUCUUGUGAUUUAAUAUUGGAGUCCAUAAUAUCUCUACACUCCAGAUCGCGUAGAACUAACUAGAUUGCUCAUUAUUUUCCCGAGCUUGUUGUUUUUGAAACGCUGGACGAUGCUGACAUUUGUGUUGCGUUCGCAGGUUAUGAAAUGGAUGAACAGGCUCCUGAUUCUAAUUACUUGCGGCUGCAGUUUUAUCAGUUCCCGGAUCCCAGGUCAAGACCUGGCCGUAACAAGGGGUGAUAGGCAUUAGGUGAUGAGAAACAUCCGUGUUGAUGUAAUCAAGAUUGCAUUUGCUCUUAUACAUUAUAUAUAUUGCUCAGGCUUGGGCACACACUAAUUGUAAGCACUUCUGAUGCACAUUGUUGUUCUAGGUAGUGAAAUCAGAAACAGUUUUAUAGUUGUGUUGAACGAUCUGAUUUUGCACGUCCAUGGUCUACAAUUUACUCAAGGAAUGUUUUAAUUCUGAAUUGAGAUUGUACUGUGCAUAGACUACCGCAAAAUUAGUACAGAGAUAGUUUCCCUAUAGAUUGUUUUCAUAUACUAGAGGACUUCCAUGGCCAGGGUAUCUUGCCACCAUAUUGUCCCCGUACAUUUUCCCUCCAUAUUAGUUAUAUAUUUAUCUGGACAUUCUAACCUAAUGAAGUCCUACAAUCAUCAUAACUCAUUUUACUUAGCUCAUGCUCCUUACAAUAUUUGAUGAACUCACAUAAGAAACUCAUAGAAAUUUGUUCCCAGUCAUUACCUUUGGACUGCAGUUGAAGCUUAUGAUACAUCCUCCCAAUGCUAAGCACUAGCUAGUGGGUUGUCGACUAAUCUAUGCCACCGUACACAUCGCAGGGGCUUUGAACUCUGUCUCAAUUAUUGUAAAGACGUUAGCCUCUUCAAUGAAAGAACCCAUAGUCCUAUGCUGCUAGAGCUCCCCCCACCCUUCUUGGAAUUAAUAUAGUGUUAGGACAUAUCGCUCUAUUUCUCACAUCACGUGACUAAUGAUUUCUUUGAAGUUACUUCUUUAGGAAACACUUAUACUACAAGUGCUUUUAUUAUAUAGAAUCUUUAUAAGCAAUCCAAGUGUUCAUUGAAAACGUAUUUGAAAGUGCUUCUUGAAAAAGCAUUUGGCAAGUGCUUCUUGAAAAAGCAUUUGGCAAGUGCUUCUAUAAAAGAGCUUAUUGGGUCAAAAGAAUUUCUAAGUUUUUUUUUCUGCCAAGCACAACAGAAUACACAUUUUAGCUUUUUCCAGAACCAAUCCCAGACAAGUUCUAAGCAAAGAAAGGGCGAUACAGCCUGAAGACAACGGAGAAUUUCCCUGACGUUAAAGGUUUUGUUUGUUCGGUCACUAAACCCAAAAAAAUAGAAAACUUGAAGUGGGCAAUGAAUUGGUUUUCGAUUUCCAUUAAAUUGGCACAACAUUCGGCAUUGUUAUGCAAAAAUAUACUUUUUUCUUAUCAUUAGUUUUACACACACUCUAGUCUGUGGUAUAAAAUGAGCUAGGGUUUGGUUGGAGAACAAGUCUACGUGGUAUCAUCACUUACAUUACAUGCCAUGUGGGCUGGAGGGUUUCAUUUGGUGCCAUUACUCCUUUUUCUGUUCUAUAAUCAUUUUGGAACUGGAAGAGAAAGUGGAGGGGAAAAGGUAGUUUAGGGCAAAAAUUUUCCAAUCAAUUUUUUGGCAGUGUGACUGUUUUCGAAAUAUAGAGUAGUUGUGGCAAAAAAGAAAAAGGAAAGGGGUAAUUGUACAUACACAUUGUUCCAAAGGGUCAGUUGUCCCACAACUUGUCAAGGGACCAGAGCAUUAAGUUGUAGCUGCAAGUGCAAGGAGAAAGUUGUGGAUUAGAUAGACCAAUGGAUUUGGUUUGGUUUAAUUCCAAGUCAUCGUCGUUUCUUCUUCUAUGUGGCCCAGCCGCCCAGGACUUUAGUCCUUAUUUGGCAGGUACUUAUUACAAGGUUAGAUAAAGGGAGAUGAUACAUGGAGAACGGUUUGCCAAGUUUGUUAGAGUGGAUCCGGAUCCAUGAGUGUUGGAUCUCUAGUAAUUGAAUCUUUAGUUAAAGAUUCAAUGUCUCAACGAUCUAUGCUAUACAUUUGUCUUUACGAAUUUUCAUUCAUUGUGUAUUACAUAAUAUUCUUGACCCUCUUAUAUGUGACUUCGGCCGACUUCUAUCACCCGAUAUCGUUGUGUAAUAACUUGAUGAGAUAGCCAAUGCUUAGGUCAUCUUCAAUGGAGAUGGCUAAAGGUCAAAAAGCUAAAAAAUAGUAUGAUUUGUUCAAAAACUCAUCUCCAACCAAUGUCAGAGCUAUAAUUAUAUGGAGCCCACCAUGCCAUUAUUUGGCUAGUGCCCCUUUCUUAGCCCCUUUUUGGGGCCUAGCUCCUCGAUUAUGCCAUCUGCAAUGAAGAGGGCUAAAUGUCUAAAAGCCAAAAAAUGACAUGAUUUACCCAAAAACUCAUCUCCAACCAAUAGCUAGGUUAUAAUUCUAUGGAUUCAACAGUUAGAUUUGGAAACAUCCAAUGUUAGUUUAAUUAAAUUAAAGUAUAAACUUAAAACUAAUAAAUUAUUAGGGAGCCUAUGUUUUAGCCCUUUCGGUUGGAGAUGGUAUAUGAGUAUGGCCGACACUAUUCAUUUAAAAAUAAUUUUUUUGUUGGGUUAUAAUUUUGGAUGAGGCUAUGUCUAGCCCUUUUGGUUGGAGAUGACCUUACAAUGAUUAAUUCAAAUUCAAUGGUUAAAUUUGAAAAUAUCCAACAAAACAUCCAACAGUAGUUUAAUUAAAUUAAUCAAUAAUUUUAAGUAUAAACUCAGAACUAAUAAAUUAUUGAGGGAGUUAUGUUUAGCCUUUUCGGUUGGAAAUGAUAUAUGAGUAUGGCCUAAUACUGUUUAUUAAAAAAAAAAUCUUUAGUUAUCUCUGCUAAUCAAUAAAACACUCAUUGUCAACCAAAAUCCUAUGAAAUUACCAGUUUAACCUUCUAAUUAAAACAAAACAUGAAUAAGAAAUAUGGGGCGGAAAUUUAAUUUUACACAAACAAAAUUUGUUGUUUUUUUUUUUCAAAACUUCAUCUAUAUAUAAUUCUAACAUAUCUCUAAUUAUAAAAUAAAUAAAAAAUAAAAAUAAAAACUUCCUACUCCCACAUUCUCUAUCACUCCCUUCCUCUCUUCUUUUAUUUUAAAACAAAAAAAAAAAUUUCACAUACUUUAUAUAUGCCCAUAUGCUAGUAAUUAUAAACGAAACUAUAUUUAACUAUUUCGUUGAAAAUGACCGUACGAGUAUGUAAAUUUUGAAAUGUGAGUUGUCGUUCACUACGCAAGCAAAGAUCGAAAGCCUUCAUGUACCGAGGGGUCCCACUCCUUGAAUCAGAAUAAAAGUGCUUUGAAAAAGUCCCUUUAAUUAUGUCCAAGUUUGGAUAAAAUUUGUCCAUGCAUGGCAUGCACUCACUGACUGAUCUCGUCGUCCUGAAGGGUAAGAGAGGUAAAUUCCAGAAUAACCCACGAGGCACUGUAUGAAGCCUGUCAAUUACAUCAACUCAUCAAGCUUUCAAUCUUUUCAUGGCAUGCCUAACUUCUGUGAAAUAUGCUCAACAUUUAACAUUUUGUAAACCAAAAAGAGAGUAAGAGAGAGAUGAUUGAAGUAAUAAAGUAAAAGCGAAAUGCAUGCAUUGAUAAAAGGAAAUUUUAACAAAAAAAAUUUCGGUACUGUUUACUUUAACAAAAAAUUAUAUUUUUACAUUAAAAAGUCAAUUCUAAUACUAUUCAUUUUACCCUUUAUUUGUUCUUUAUUGUUAAAAAUCAAAUUUUUCAAUCCAUUUUUAUUAGUUUUCCUUUGAUAAAAGGAGAAAGAUGCAUGGAGAACUGGUUUUUUAUUUUAUUAUUAUUUUUUUUACAAACAAUAAUAUUAGAGUGGAUUAAGUUAUUAGCUGUUAGCGAGAAGAGGAUCAAUAAUAAUCAAACUAGCACCCGGAUGUAUAAGCAUAAUUGUUUUCUAAAAUUGCAAUAAAACGUCACUUUCCAUAUAUAUAUAUAUAAAAAAAAAAAACUUAUUGUUCCUUGUAUGAUGGAUUGCAAUCUCAAUAUCGUUCUUAAUGGAACGGCCACAAUUAGUUGUUCAGGACAUAAACAAUAUGUAUUGUCUUUAUAUUUAGGAAAUUGGCUCUGUUAGCCUUAUUACAAACCCAACAAUUAAAAAUACUCCCAAAUUAUAAUCUCUAUUAGCCCUCUUUUCCUUAAAUACCACUAACUUGAAAGAUGAACUGUUAUUCUAUGUCUCGACGUUGGAUCUCGAUGGCAUCCAAAAGGGCCUCUCAACUCCCUUCCGACUGUAUCUCGACUGAAUCACGACGGCAUCUCAACGGCACAGAACUGAAUUACCCUUAUAUUUAUGAGUUGAUCAGACACUCCAAUUAAAUAAAAAUAACUAUAAUUAUGUCAAAAUUAUUUAGUCAGUCUCACGUAUAUAUAAUUAAUUCAUCAAACACAUAAACAAAAAAGUUCUUGUAUGUAUGCUAUACUUUGAUUUGUCUCAACAAGAAAUGACUCAGUCAUCUUUUUAUCUAUGUCCAUUGAGUUUAUGGAGGGCAACAUAUUGAGAUCUCAAAAAUCUUAUUCUCAUACAACACACUUUUUUUUUUGAACAAACGAUAUUAUCUACACUAAGGGAAAAUGGGUGGCCUAAACCUCACAAUGGGCUAGCAAUAAUGUGGUUCAAAUUCACAUUUGGCGAGAAUCAAACCUAAGACCUCUCACUGACAAGUGAAGAAGAAUAUCACUAGACCGUAGUCCUAAAAAAAAUAUAGAUCUUAUAGUCUUGCAGUGUUUUAGAUUAGCUAAAACGUUGGUAUCCAUAUUAACUUACCAAAAAAAAUAUGUUGAAUUUGCUACACCUGGAAUUUGUAGCAGAUUUGUCAUUUUAUAAAGGGGUUUUUAACUCAUUUAAAAAAAAAGAAGGGGUUUUUAACUUUAAUUCUUAAAAAAAAUUGAAAUUUAAUAAAAAUCGGAUGUUAGAUUACAUAUUAAUUAUUGUCCUUUAAUGUGUUAUUAACUCAAAUUAAUUAAUGUGUAUUUUAUUCAAUAUCUCACAUUAAAUAUUUGAAUUUAUGAAAAUGAAAAUUAUAAUAAAAUAUAAUUAAUAUAUCAAAAUUAGAAAGAAAAAGAGAAAUAAUUAAAACAUCAAAAUAUAAUUAAUAAAUGAAGUAAUUAACAUAUCAAGAGACUAAAAUUAGAUUUUAAUUUUACUCAUGUUUUUAAUUUAAAGUUAUUUUUAUCAAAAAUUAAAAUGAAGUUUCCUAUUUUGUAAAUUACAACGAUGAAAAAUGACGCGUUGCACGUAAGAAACAACAUCUAUAUUUUCUCUUUUGUUUAAUAUGCCAUCAAACAUAUCCAUCACAUUUUAAAUUUUGUGGAAGUCCCUCUCUCACAUUGAUAAAGUCUGGUUUGUGUUGGACAGCUGUCCAACAGACAACCCAAAAAUCUUCCAAAAACCAACAAACAUUUCUGACCAGUCAUGCAUACGUAUGCAUGGACCCAAUGGCAUAUAAUCAAAAAUUUUAAAUAAUGGGAUCGUAAUGUCAACUUAAAAAAAAGUUUCAUUAAGCUAUUUCAUCGAACAUUUAGUAAGCAAUUGUCAAUUCUUGUCAACAAUGCCAAAAGUUUAUGUUAAAAUAUAUCAACUACGAUAAUUUGUAGAGGCUUGUCGAGAGUGAUGUAGGAUACUACGAAGUAAUAUUGAGAACUCUUAAAGCUUUUCAACUAAAGUAUUUUAUAUAAAAAGAGAGAAAAGAAAAACAAAUAUGAUAGAAGAAAAUAGAAGAAGUAAGAAGAUGAGGUUGUAAGUUAGUUUGCUUUAGCUAUUUAUAAUGGUCAAAUAAAAUAUACAAACAAAUAUACAUGAGAUUUUUAAAGUUGUUGAGAUCAAGGAUAAUCAAUGAUCCCAUUCUAGUUUUGCCAUUGCAUGGGCCGGAUAGGGAUAUGGCUAAAAUAUAAUUCUAUUAAUUGCGUUUUGGGACUUUGUCUAACAACUUGGCUCUCUCUUGACUUGGAUGCCAUGGAUGGCUCAUGCAGUUUACUAAAACUAGUAAUGUACAAUUUUCAGAGACUAUUAAUUAUCAUCUAUCAGGAAAAUUUGAUUUCCAUGCUUGCCCUUUCACGUCGGUGACUUGGAGAUAAUAUUGUUUCUUGUCCGGAGAUGAAAUAAAAUAAAAAGACUUGCACGAUCAUACUGCAUUAUAUAUAUUACACUAUAUAGUCUAUGUUGGGAGUUAUAUAUUAGUUAAAGUAUAAAUAGUAGUCUGUUAUCCUAUAUUGAUGAAGUGCAUAUGUAAUACAAAUUGUAAUUCCUAUAUAUACUCCAUUUUGGAGAUUAAUGAAUAUAUGAGAAAUUCUCAAAUAUUAUCAUAUAUAUUUUUGGUAUUUACCAUGUUUAGUUUAAUAUAGCAUCAAAGCAGUUCGCUCUUGGUGACCUGUGUGCUUUAAUUUUGUGCCCCACAUUUGUCAUGAUUUCCUUCGUCUUGAAAAAAAAAAAGGAAAGUAAAUAGUGUUGCACUACAGUACAAACAGUGCGUAAACAGUGGUAUGCUACAGUGUUCAUGAACAAUAUUUUGCUACAGUGCCAUUAACAGUGAUCUACUACAUCACUUGAACAGUGAUGUGCUACAGUAUUAUGGUAAAUUGUUUUCAUUCCGCUGCCUAUCUUUUGUGCCUUUAUUGUUUGUGAUUUAAUUCAAUGGCUCAGUAUAAUCAUAAUGUUGUUAUGCAUCUUGGUGGAACAAAUAAAUGGAUAAUUGAUACUGGGACCACUAAUCAUGUGACUAGUGACCCUAGAAUGUUUGAUGAGUUAUGUGACUAUAUUCUUGAUCCGUAUAUUACUAGUGCAAAUGGAGCACAUUCCCCCGUGAAUGUUGAAGGCAUUAUCUCUCUUACUUCGACCUUAUCACUGGUCCAUACUUUACUUGUUCCUGAUGUUAAGUGCAAUCUUUUGUCGGUAGAAAAACUACUUGAUACUUUAUAUUGUUUUGCUCACUUCUACCCUACGUAUUGUUAUUUUCAAGACAUUCAAACUCAGAAAGUAAUUGGUCAUGGUAAAAGAAUAGAGGGUUGUACAUCUUGACUAUGGAGGAUACUGUUGUUUCCGGUUCAAAUAAUCAUCAAGUUUUAAGUGCUAAAGUGGAUGACAUACAUCAAAUUUGGUUGUGGCAUUGGCGAUUAGGACGUCUAUCAUUCAGUUAUAUGAAGCAUCUAUUUCCUGCUUUGUUUCGCAUUUGUAGUGAUUCAUAAUUCAAGUGUGAAGCAUGUGUCAUGGCUAAGAGUCAUCGUGCUUCCUUUCCCAUAAGUGAUUCUAAAGCUACUUUGCCAUUUGAUUUAAUACAUUCUGAUGUGUGAGGUCCGGCAAAUGUUACUUCUAAUGAAUUUCGUUGGUUUGUUACUUUUAUUGAUGAUUGUACUCGAUUAACUUAGGUGUUAUUGAUGAAGAAUAAGAGUGAUGUUCAUUUGCUUCUUCAAGAAUUUUGUGCAAUGGUGUAUACUCAGUUUCAGACCAAAGUUAAGGUUUUCAGGUUUGAUAAUAGAGGAGAAUAUGUGAAUCACACUUUGACAUGCUUUUUUCGUGAUCAGGGUAUUAUUCACCAGACGACUACUUUGUUUACACCCCAACAAAAUGGUGUGUCAGAACAGAAGAAUCGUCAAAUAAUGGAGGUUGCUCACUCAUUGAUGUUGGAUAAAUGUGUUCCUAAUCAUUUAUGGGGUCAUGUUGUUUUGGCUGUUGUAUAUUUGAUAAAUCGUGUUCUAAGUAGGGUUCUUGAUUUUCAGACACCACUUGAUGUGUUACAAAAGCAUGUUUAUCUUGUUUCUGUAUCAAAACUUCCUCCGAAGGUGUUUGGGUGUAUUGCGUAUGUGUAUGUCUACUCUUAUCAGCGGAGUAAACUUGAUGCAUGUGUUCUUCGAUGUGUAUUUAGUAGGUAUGCUAACAAUCAGAAAGGCUAUAAGUGUUAUCAUCCUCCGACUCAUAAAACUUAUAUUACCAUGGAUGUCACUUUCCACGAGGAAGUUUCGUAUUUUGUGAAGCCAUCUUCCGACUCUCCACUUCAGGGGAAAAAAGGGAGUGAAGUGCAUAUUUGAAGAGAUGGUAUGGAUGAUGUGUUACAGGCAGAGUUGGGGAUAGAACCUAUUAUGUUGCGUGAUACUGAUCAGUCGGUUAUAGAUAGUGAUCUGUCACCUAUUAUUCCUAAAACUAUUUUUACUGACGACAGAUUAGAUGUGCCCAACGAGUUGCUUGUCAGUAUGUCUGACGAAUUACUUUCUGAUGACCGAUUGCUUGCUUCUGGUAUGUCUAACGAGCUGCCUGAUGAUGGUUAGUUCAGUGAUGGUUCAUCCAGUGAUGAUUCUUUUAACAAUUUGGUACAAGAUAAUGACAUACAUGAGUUAAAUUCUGACGAUUCUUCUAUUUAUUAGUUGCCUCCACGAGCUAAUCGUGGAAAACCUAAGGUACAAUAUGAGCCUGAUAUGCAUGCCAAAUCCAAAUAUCCUAUCAACAAUUAUGUGUUUACUCAUCGUUUGUCCAAACCAUUUUCAUCUUACAUAUGUCAGCUAUCUAGUGUAUCAAUUCCAACAAAAUUGCACGAUGCCUUGUCUGACCCUAAGUGGGUUAAUGCCAUGAGAGUUGAGAUGGAAGCCUUGGAAAAGAAUUCUACUUGGGAUUUGGUUCAUUUACCAAAUGGGAAGAAAGCUGUUGGAUGUAGAUAGGUGUUCACUAUUAAGCACAAAGCAGAUGGUUCUAUUGACCGGUAUAAAGCCAUAUUAGUUGCUAAGGAUUAUACUCAAACCUAUAGGGUGGACUAUCAGGAGAUUUUUGUUCUUGUUGCCAAACUUAAUACUGUGUGUGUUCUUCUGUCCUUAGUAGCAAACCAGGAUUGGCCUCUGUUGCAGUUUGAUGUUAAGAAUGAUUUCCUUCAUGGUGAUCUCAAGGAGGAAAUUUAUAUGGAUCUCCCACUUAGUAUUAGAACAUCUCCUGAAAAAUGUGUUGUAUGCAAGUUGCAAAAAGCUUUGUAUAGUUUGAAACAAUCUCUUAGAGUGUGGUUUUGGAGGUUUACAAGUUCAAUGAAGAAGUUUGGGUAUGUCCAGAGUCAUUCAAAUCAUACUUUGUUUCUAAAUUGUUUCUAAAGCCACAAAAUGGUAAGCUAACUGCAUUGAUUAUUUAUGUUGAUGACAUGUUAGUGACUAGUGAUGAUCAAAAGGAGAUACAACGCCUUAAAAAAGUACCUAGCUAGUGAAUUUGAGAUGAAAGAAUUGGGUGAAUUGAAGUAUUUUCUUGGAAUCGAGGUUGCACAAUCCAAGCAUGGUAUUUUUCUGUCUCAACAGAAGUAUGUUCUUGAUUUGUUAGUUGAAACAAAUCUGUUAGAUUGCAAACUUAUUGAUACUCUGAUUGAGCAAAAUCAUCAUCUGGGCUUAUUUCCGAAUCAAGUUCCUACUCAUAAGGAACGGUAUCAGAGGCUUGUGGGGAAAUUAAUUUAUUUGUCUCACACUUGCCCUGACAUUGCUUAUGCAGUUAGUGUAGUAAGUCAGUUUAUGCACUCACCUAGUGAAGCUCAUAUGGAUGAAAUAGUCCGUAUUUUGAGGUGCUUGAAGAUGGCUCCUGGCAGAGGCUUGGUUUUCUCCAAGAAUGGUCAUUUGAAUGUCGAAGGGUAUACAGAUGCAGAUUGGACAAGUUCUAUCACUGAUUGGCGGGUGGUAAUCUAGUUACUUGGAGAAGUAGAAACAAAAAAUGGUGGCUAGGUCAAGUGCUGAAGCUGAGUUUCGUGGUAUGUCUCAUGGUGUAUGUGAGUUGUUGUGGUUAAAAAAAUUGUUGAGAGAUCUUGGAUUUAAACCCAAUGGUGCUAUGAAACUCCAUUGUGAUAACAAGGCUGCUAUUGAGAUUGCUCAUAAUCCAGUGCAACAUAAUCAAACAAAACAUGUGGAGAUUGAUCAACAUUUCAUCAAGGAAAAUUUGGAUGCUGGAAUUAUUAUGUUUCCGUUUGUGAGAUCUGAAGAUCAACUCGCUGAUGUACUUACUAAGACUGUGUCUAAUAGUGUGUUUUCCAACUCGCUUGACAAGUUGGGCAUGCAUGACAUCUUUGCUCCAACUUGAGGGGGAAUUUUACGAGUUAUAUAUAGUUAAAGUGUAAAUAGUAGUCUGUUGUCCUACAUUGAUGAAGUACAUAUGUAAUACUAAUUGUAACUCCUAUAUAUACUCCACUUUGGAGAUUAAUAAAUAUAUAAGAAAUUCCCAAAUAUUGUCAUAUAAAUUUUUGGUAUUUAUCAUGUUUAGUUUAAUAGUCUAAACAUCAGGAAAUACACCAACCCUAAACCUAAUGGAUUUUAUGAAGCCGCUGGUUUGGGUACACAUUAAUCUAACCUAAUUGCUCUACCACAUUCUAAACACAAAAUUUGUUAUAAAUAGGAUGAUUAAAUUUAUUUUCUCAAGCGGUAGAGUAGUGAACCUCACAGCGACGACAAUCUUCCACCCCCAAAUUCGGGUUUUUUUGUACUAAAAUGGUCUUUUAUGUAUAAGAACUUUACGAUAAGUUUAUUAAAAUUGGCUCUGUAUCUACGAAAUCUCAACAUCCAUACGUUACAAAAUGGAUUAGAACUCCUAGGAAAUAAAAUAGAACAUAUGAUGAUCCCUUUAAAGGGCCUUAUAAUGGGGAAGACUUCUCACAGAAUAUAAGAAGACGAAGAGGAAAACUAAAAACUUAGAACUUCAAGGAGAUGGACUGGAGCAGGGAGAAUGGCAAAGAACCGGAACCCAGAAGACCCGCAACGAAAAAGAAAACACUGUACUUUUUUUAGACAUUUUUUCACAUUUCUUCUCGGCCUUACAGCCAAGUAGCAUUUUCCGACCCCAAAUAAAGAUAGAAGGAAAAAACCAAAUUAAGGUAAAUAAAUUUUCUAUAGCAACUUGGCAAACAAAAACAUACUAGAAGAAAACAAGGAAAAUACAAAGAAAUUAAGGAAGUAUGGGAAACAAAAUAAAUUUAAUACGGGACCAACGACAACGGUGCAAAUGUAUAUUGUUCAGGAAAUAAACUUUUAGCGAAAAUGUGCUGCAAAAUUGACCAAUUUUGCUUCAUAUUCACACUCAAUUUUUUUAAGAAUUAAUAUCUGUAGAGUUUAGACCAAAAAUAAAAUAAAAAACAAAACCAAAAUGCUACUCCACUUUCUUGGUACUUAACUCAGCUCUCCACCUCCUUCCAAUCUUACAAGCUUCUAGAUUUAGAUUUGUCUCAAAUCACAUGCCAACUAACCUGCCCAGCUCAAUUUUAUUUUUUCUUUGGAAAUUCCAGUGCGUCUCUACUUUUGUUUUUCUAAAUCUUACUUACUCCCAUUAUAAUUGGAAUUUUAUAUAUUUAUAUGGAUGCUUUGUCAAGAUAUGAGAGAAAUAGUAGUGAUUCAAAAAGAUGAUUAGGAGCCAAAAAUAUUUAUUAUUUUAGAUUGGUGUUUAUGUUUUUGAACAGUUAAAAACUUUUUUGGUCAUUGUGUUUAUGUUUAAAAUUUAUUUUGGUCACUGUAUUUUAUUUUCUGCUAAUUUAGUUACUGUGUUAUCACAAGUUAGCAAUCUUAGUCCUUCUCAAUCAAACGUUAAAAAAAACGCACAUGACAUGCAAGUGCAGGGGUAACUAUGUAAGUGAAAAUAUAUCUUUGCCCCUGCACGAAACUGUCACGUGCAUUUUUUUGGCGGUUGACUUAUGGUAACGCAGUGACCAAUUUGGCAGAAAAUAAAACACAAUGACCAAAAUAAAUUUUAGAAAUACACACAGCGACCAAAAACGUUUUAAUUUAACCCAUUUUUAACAGUCCAGCCAGCUACCAUGAAAGCUACAACAUGAAAGCUGACUGUCAAAAUUUUGUUUAAAAAUUCAUACACAAUAAUCGUCAUAAGAACGUGCAAUAGGUACUUUGAAUUCUUAAAUAUACUGCAUGGUUACCCUUUCCUUUUGUUUUAUACAGAGAAAUCUUGACAGGCAGUCAAAAGCAAAAUUAUGUUCUUCUAGUGAUAUCUGUGUGCUAAAAAGGAAGUACGUAGCUACGUUCAGUCUUCACCUAACACUCCUAUUUGCACCUAAAAGAUGUGGAUAACAAAGAUUUUGACCAAAAUCACAUUGACAAGUACUUGCCAAAGGAUCACGGAACCUAUGAUUGUAAAAGAUAUACGUGUUGGGCCUGACCGACGUUAAUUAGUUGUUCAUAUUGAUUUGAGAAAUUUGAUUGAAUGAGGAUUAACAAAUCACAAUUGCUAAAAUAUUAAAAUGUAUUAACUGCGACAUAUUGGUUAAAUAAUUAUUGCACAUCGAAAAAAUAUUGACGAGUAAUUAUGAAUUUUUAUUUUCAUUAUUUCAAACAUUUUUAUAUUAGAAAAGCUAAAGAAAAUGAUUUAAAAACUUUGAAUUUUAAUGAUACGUACAAAAUGAAAGGUAAAAUAAAUAGUACCAGAAUUAACUUUUUGUUUAAAUUUUAUUUUCUAUUUGGCAUCAACUUUUGGUUUAAAUAUACUAUAUAACCCUCACAAAAGAAAAAGCAUGGUGUACUAGUAGCUAAAAGACAUAAAAAAGGUUAAUCUUAAUUUAUUAUUCUAAAGUUUCUUAGUUUUCAAUAUUUGGUAUAUAAAGUUUUUUUUAUUCUAGAGUUGUACAUAAAGUUAUAAUUUUGGGAUACUUUCAUACAUCCAUUAAGGUUGCUGUUAAAUUUAUCAUUAACUGAUGAUAUGACAUUUAUGUUGACAAUGACACGUAGAUAUUAAAAAUUAAAAAUUAAAUUAAUAAAAUAAUAAAAAUUAAAAAAAAAAAAAAAUUGGGCGUCUUCACCCUCACCCCUUCUGACCCCCCUCCCUUCUCUCCUCUGCACCCACGCUUCCCCCUCCCUCUUCGACUCCACCCAACGCUGCACUCCGAGGAUUGUUGCCAUCCUUUCAAGCCCAAUUUCGCCCCCAAAUAGGCCCGGGCAGUACUUGGCCAUAAACUUCAAGUCGUAGACCCUCUCGAACAAACGACCUGCCAUCUUUGCGAACUCAGUGGGGGAGCUGAGGAUGGUCUUCCUCGUCACCAGCUUCAUUACAUAGGCCGAGUCGUAGAGGCCGUGGAAGCUCACCCAUACGAGCUGCCCCCUGUGCACCCUUAAAAUCUCAACGAAACCCUCCACAAAAAUAUCCGAAUCAAUGCCGAACUUCCCAAAUUUCUCGAGAUCCAAGCCAUUCGCUUUGAGGAGGGCAAUGGAUUCUGGAACAUGGGGGUCGGUUUCCUCGUCAAAACCCCGAAAGUUGAACUCCCAGGUGCCGCCGACGUUGCCGCGGUCGUCGAACAGGGUGAUACCCACUUGGAUGAGAUUGAGAGAAUCGACAUUAAGGGCGAUAUCUUGGUAACGGAGGCCCUUGGAAGUGCCUCUGGGGGUGUUGCGGAGGAACCCCGGAAAUUCGGUGUCGAACGAGACGAUCGGAAAACGGCAGAGACACCGAUCGACGGAGGGAAGGGGAAAGGUGGGUGCAAAGGAGAGAACGGGAGUGGGGUCGGAAGGGGUGAGGAAGAAGAUGCCCAAAUUUUUUUAUUUAUUUAAUUUUUUUAGUUUUUAUUAUUUUAUUUUUUAAUAUGCACGUGUCAUCAUGUCAUUGUCCACGUGGAUAACACAUCAUUAGUUAACAGUAAAUUUAAAGGCAACCUUAAUGAAUGUAUAAAAUUGUUCCAAAAUUAUAACUUUAUGUACCACUCUGAGAUGAAAAAAACUUUAUUUACCAAAUAUUGAAAACAAAAAAACUUUAAGAUAAUAAACUAAUAUUAAUCCUAAAAAACUACUAAAGGAAAGGGUGAAAGAAAAAAUUAUUAGUUUGUGCUGUUCUCAUGGUAAUAGUGGUUUUUGUAUUGUACGAUCAUGUGUUACAUUUUAUGCAUUAUUAUGUGGAUGAAUGAAUAAGUUAAUUACAUCGCAUGUCAUAGGGUGAAUAUUACAUUAAAAAAUUCUUCAUUCUUGUUAUUCGUCAAAUUAAUGGUUGUGCAUUUGUAUGAGGACCUAGAUCUGUUGAGGAUGCAGAUCUUCACUCGUUGAAGGCCAUCCCUAUCUAUCUACUACUACUCUUUGGAAAAUAAUUGACUACAGAUGAUUGUACAAAAAAAUAAUUAAUAUUAUCUGAACAGCUCACCAUGCAUGUUCAGUAAAGUAAAGCGGAUUUGUUUAUUCAUUGUCUAGUUCAAACUUGGGGAGCAUUUUCUCAUUCUUGCGGUGAUCAGAAUAAUGUGAUUUAAGUCCAGUUAAACAUGCUUAAUUAUGCAUUUAAGCAUCUUUUAUUUAUUUGCUUUCAUUAUUUUUUCCUUCUUAAUGUGUUGUUAUUGUUUGGAACAACAAGUAAGACAAAUCUAGCCAGUUAGCAUUCACCGCAUCACCGCAUAAUGAAAGAUUAUUCAUAUUUGGAAAUGAAUAAUUAAUUAAAAAACUGUAUUAUUAAGGCAAAUGGGCACUUAAUAUUUGUAUCUUAAACCUUCCGAGUCGGAUAUUCGAGUAAAUUAGUUAAAAAGCUAUGCAAAAUGUGAAUGUGACAGACUACGUAGUAAAGUUUGGGUUAAGAGAGAGAGAGAGAGAGAGAGAGAGUAUUUCGCAGCCGGCUGGUCCCUAUGUACGGGAAGAAUCAUAGAAAGUUAGGUAACUACACACAUUUUUCAAAGAUGUCGAUCAUGAAAAAUAUUUGAUAACAAAUUCAGGGAGGACAUACUGCUUAAAUUAUUAACCUAGAAAUAAAGUUCGAUCUCUUGCUUUAACUUUUCUGCUACGUAGCUCUUAUUGCAUUAAACAAAGCCUUAUUAAAGUAAAGAUGGUCACACCCUUAGCCCUUUAGGUGAUACGUUCAGGGAAAUGGUUAAUGUUUUUACAAGCUCUUGUUUAUUUUUAUUUUUUAAUAUUUUCAGAUAUUUUUACAAUCUUUUACUGCGCAGUAAUAGAGUGUAAAAAUCAUAUCUAUGUAUUUAUUUAUUAUUAACUAUGUUUACAAUGAACCUUCUAUUCCAUGAAACAAGAUAUAAAAAUAAAAAUAAAAAGGAGAAGGGCAUAAAUUAACAAAAUUCGGUCAAAGGCCGCAUUGGUCCAAACAUUAAUUGAUAAUCUAUGACAAAUAGUCUGGCCCCAUUAGCAUUAUUUUAACAGUAAUAUUGUUUUUUUACUAAGAUAAUUAAUAAUUGCCAAGUGAAAAUUUGGCAUGAGUACCAUUGUGAAGGGUAAAAACCAAAGCUAUAUAAAGGGUGAGGAGGCUUAGCUUCAGAGGCAGACAACCAAAAACCCAUUCUUAACGAAGGAUGGGAAAAAUGGUGCCUUCACAAGUGACCUCUCUUGUGGUCACUCUCCUAGUGGCAAUAGUCUCUCUCACAUUGCCUUCAGAAACUUCAGCUAACUACCCUUACACCUCUCCACCACCACCGGCCUCUCCUCCCUACCAUUACAAGUCACCACCGCCUCCUUCUCCUUCUCCUCCAGUGCACUACUCACCACCUAAGCAUCCCUACCACCCUAAGUCACCACCACCUCCUGUGUACGCACCACCUAAGCAUCCCUACCACCCUAAGUCACCACCACCUCCUGUGUACCCACCACCUAAGCAUCCCUACCACCCCAAGUCACCACCACCAUCACCAAAGCCUUACCACUACAAAUCCCCACCACCACCUCCUGCUCCAGUGCACUCACCACCCCCACCUAAGGAGCCAUACCACUACAAGUCCCCACCACCACCACCCAAGAAGCCCUACCACUACAAAUCUCCCCCACCACCUCCUCCUCCAGUUCACUCACCACCACCACCCAAGGAGCCUUACCACUACAAAUCUCCACCACCACCACCCAAGAAACCUUACUAUUACAAGUCUCCUCCACCACCACCAAAGAAGCCUUACCACUACAUGUCUCCUCCCCCACCGGUGUACUCACCACCUCCACCAGUGCACUCACACCCACCACCAAAAAAGCCUUACCAUUACAAAUCUCCUCCCCCGCCAGAAUAUUCACCAGCUCCACCAGUGCACUCAACCCCACCACCAAAGAAGCCCUACCAUUACAAAUCCCCACCACCACCACCACCACACAAGAAGCCUUAUUACCCUGUUCACUCACCACCUCCACCUAAGAAGCCUUACCACUACAAAUCCCCACCACCACCUUCUCCUACUCCUCCUAAAUACUCACCACCUAAGCACCCCUACCACUACAAGUCUCCACCACCACCACCAAAGAAGCCUUACCAUUACAAGUCCCCACCACCUCCUUCUCCUACUCCCCCUAAAUACUCACCACCUAAGCACCCCUACCACUACAAGUCACCACCACCACCACCCCAAGAAGCCUUACCACUACAAGUCUCCACCACCACCACCUCCUCCAGUUCCCACACCAUCUCCACCCAAGAAACCUUACCACUACAAGUCUCCCCCACCACCCCCUCCAGUCUACAAGUCUCCUCCACCACCAGUUUACUCACCACCACCACCACCUAAGAAACCUUACAAGCCACCAACUCCUCCAGCAGUUCACCCACCACACGGUUACAUCUAUUCCUCACCCCCACCUCCUCACCACUACUAGAUAUUGAAAGUUUAAUUGCAUCAAGCUGGUAAG